RNAcentral lists this ribosomal RNA (494 nucleotides) under uncultured bacterium. RNAcentral describes it as "bacterial SSU rRNA". It matches the Rfam family "Bacterial small subunit ribosomal RNA", at positions 903 to 1397 of the family's 1533-position model. The record is from RNAcentral.
AAAUGAAUUGACGGGGACCCGCACAAGCGGUGGAGCAUGUGGUUUAAUUCGAAGCAACGCGAAGAACCUUACCAAGGCUUGACAUCUCCUCGAAAGGCGCGGAGACGCGCCCUCCUUUCGGGGCGGGGAAGACAGGUGGUGCAUGGUUGUCGUCAGCUCGUGUCGUGAGAUGUUGGGUUAAGUCCCGCAACGAGCGCAACCCUUACUUUCAGUAGCCAGCAUGUAGAGAUGGGCACUCUGAAGGGACUGCCGCGGAUAACGCGGAGGAAGGCGGGGACGACGUCAAAUCAUCAUGCCCCUUAUGUCUUGGGCAACACACGUGCUACAAUGGCCCGAACAAAGCGAAGCGAAGCCGCGAGGCGGAGCAAAGCGCAAAAACGGGUCUCAGUUCGGAUUGCAGGCUGCAACUCGCCUGCAUGAAGUUGGAAUCGCUAGUAAUCGCAAAUCAGCAUGUUGCGGUGAAUACGUUCCCGGGUCUUGUACACACCGCCCGU